This 492-nucleotide ribosomal RNA is filed under the name uncultured bacterium. RNAcentral describes it as "bacterial SSU rRNA". It matches the Rfam family "Bacterial small subunit ribosomal RNA", at positions 990 to 1481 of the family's 1533-position model. The record is from RNAcentral.
UCGGAACUUGUCAGAGAUGACUUGGUGCCUUCGGGAACCGAGAGACAGGUGCUGCAUGGCUGUCGUCAGCUCGUGUUGUGAAAUGUUGGGUUAAGUCCCGUAACGAGCGCAACCCUUAUCCUUAGUUGCCAGCGAGUCAUGUCGGGAACUCUAGGGAGACUGCCGGUGAUAAACCGGAGGAAGGUGGGGACGACGUCAAGUCAUCAUGGCCCUUAUGGGUAGGGCUACACACGUGCUACAAUGGCCGGUACAGAGGGCUGCGAACUCGCGAGAGCAAGCUAAUCCCAAAAAGCCGGUCCCAGUCCGGAUCGCAGUCUGCAACUCGACUGCGUGAAGUCGGAAUCGCUAGUAAUCGCGGAUCAGAAUGCCGCGGUGAAUACGUUCCCGGGCCUUGUACACACCGCCCGUCACACCAUGGGAGUGGGUUGCAAAAGAAGUAGGUAGUUUAACCUUCGNGAGGGCGCUUACCACUUUGUGAUUCAUGACUGGGGU